GAUGCCAAGACGGUACUCACAUUACCUGUGGGCA
RNAcentral lists this transfer RNA (34 nucleotides) under Acryllium vulturinum (vulturine guineafowl). Its description in RNAcentral is "partial tRNA-Phe". Lineage: Eukaryota; Metazoa; Chordata; Aves; Galliformes; Numididae. The record is from RNAcentral.